ACUACGGGUGGCAGCAGUGGGGAAUAUUGGGCAAUGGGCGCAAGCCUGACCCAGCAACGCCGCGUGAAGGAAGAAGGCUUUCGGGUUGUAAACUUCUUUUCUCAGGGACGAAGAAAGUGACGGUACCUGAGGAAUAAGCCACGGCUAACUACGUGCCAGCAGCCGCGGUAAUACGUAGGUGGCAAGCGUUAUCCGGAUUUAGUGGGUGUAAAGGGCGUGUAGGCGGGAGCGCAAGUCAGAUGUGAAAACUCAGGGCUCAACCCUGAGCCUGCAUUUGAAACUGUGUUUCUUGAGUGCUGGAGAGGCAAUCGGAAUUCCGUGUGUAGCGGUGAAAUGCGUAGAUAUACGGAGGAACACCAGUGGCGAAGGCGGAUUGCUGGACAGUAACUGACGCUGAGGCGCGAAAGCGUGGGGAGCAAACAGGAUUAGAUACCCCUGUAGUC
RNAcentral lists this ribosomal RNA (443 nucleotides) under uncultured bacterium. RNAcentral describes it as "partial 16S ribosomal RNA". It matches the Rfam family "Bacterial small subunit ribosomal RNA", at positions 338 to 795 of the family's 1533-position model. The record is from RNAcentral.